GGAUACCAACACUCGAUCUGUUCUGAGACAACAUCCUAGUCUGUGCAAGUGGAAGGAUAUUUCAGUGAUUAGACCUCUGCCAGCCCUGGACAUGUCAAACCCAGCUUCAGCCUCACGCUCCUGAUUAUUUUGUUGAGAAGAAAUGUGAAGCACAUCUUAAAGCAAAUCCCAUAGCACCGGGGAACUCUUCUGGAAUUCAAGAAAGAAAAGCUCUCUCUCAUACUUGCUGCCCCAACGGUGACAUCACAAGGAAAUGAGUAGGCCCUGACCCAGA
This 274-nucleotide long non-coding RNA is filed under the name Anas platyrhynchos platyrhynchos (common mallard). RNAcentral's name for it is "lncRNA (ENSAPLG00000021665.1)". Lineage: Eukaryota; Metazoa; Chordata; Aves; Anseriformes; Anatidae. The record is from RNAcentral.